RNAcentral lists this ribosomal RNA (430 nucleotides) under uncultured bacterium. Its description in RNAcentral is "bacterial SSU rRNA". It matches the Rfam family "Archaeal small subunit ribosomal RNA", at positions 339 to 776 of the family's 1478-position model. The record is from RNAcentral.
ACGAGAAAACUUUGCAAUGUGCGAAAGCACGACAAGGUUAAUCCGAGUGGUUUCUGCUAAAGAAACCUUUUGUCAGUCCUAGAAACACUAACGAAUAAGGGGUGGGCAAGUUCUGGUGUCAGCCGCCGCGGUAAAACCAGCACCUCAAGUGGUCAGGAUGAUUAUUGGGCCUAAAGCAUCCGUAGCUCGUUUUGUAAGUUUUCGGUUAAAUCCAUGCGCUUAACGUAUGGGCUGCCGGGAAUACUGCAUAACUAGGAAGUGGGAGAGGUAGACGGUACUCGGUAGGAAGGGGUAAAAUCCUUUGAUCUAUUGAUGACCACCUGUGGCGAAGGCGGUCUACCAGAACACGUUCGACGGUGAGGGAUGAAAGCGUGGGGAGCAAACAGGAUUAGAUACCCUUGUAGUCCCUGAGCGGGCUGGCAAGGCGCAU